RNAcentral lists this ribosomal RNA (497 nucleotides) under uncultured bacterium. Its description in RNAcentral is "partial 16S ribosomal RNA". It matches the Rfam family "Bacterial small subunit ribosomal RNA", at positions 28 to 507 of the family's 1533-position model. The record is from RNAcentral.
GAUGAACGCUGGCGGCGUGCCUAAUACAUGCAAGUCGAGCGAACAGACGAGGAGCUUGCUCCUCUGACGUUAGCGGCGGACGGGUGAGUAACACGUGGAUAACCUACCUAUAAGACUUGGAUAACUUCGGGAAACCGGAGCUAAUACCGGAUAAUAUAUUGAACCGCAUGGUUCAAUAGUGAAAGACGGUUUUGCUGUCACUUAUAGAUGGAUCCGCGCCGCAUUAGCUAGUUGGUAAGGUAACGGCUUACCAAGGCAACGAUGCGUAGCCGACCUGAGAGGGUGAUCGGCCACACUGGAACUGCGACACGGUCCAGACUCCUACGGGAGGCAGCAGUAGGGAAUCUUCCGCAAUGGGCGAAAGCUUGACGGAGCAACGCCGCGUGAGUGAUGAAGGUCUUCGGAUCGUAAAACUCUGUUAUUAGGGAAGAACAAAUGUGUAAGUAACUAUGCACGUCUUGACGGUACCUAAUCAGAAAGCCACGGCUAACUACGUG